RNAcentral lists this ribosomal RNA (428 nucleotides) under Verrucomicrobiota bacterium. Its description in RNAcentral is "Verrucomicrobia bacterium partial 16S ribosomal RNA". It matches the Rfam family "Bacterial small subunit ribosomal RNA", at positions 355 to 776 of the family's 1533-position model. The record is from RNAcentral. Lineage: Bacteria; Pseudomonadati; Verrucomicrobiota.
UAGGGAAUCUUCCGCAAUGGACGAAAGUCUGACGGAGCAACGCCGCGUGAGUGAAGAAGGAUUUCGGUUCGUAAAACUCUGUUGUUAGGGAAGAAAAAAUGUAUAGUAACUAUAUACAAAAGAGACGGUACCUAACCAGAAAGCCACGGCUAACUACGUGCCAGCAGCCGCGGUAAUACGUAGGUGGCAAGCGUUGUCCGGAUUCAUUGGGCGUAAAGCGCGCGUAGGCGGUUUGUUAGGUCAGGAGUUAAAUCUGGGGGCUCAACCCCUAUCCGCUCCUGAUACCGGCAGGCUUGAGUCUGGUAGGGGAAGGCGGAAUUCCAAGUGUAGCGGUGAAAUGCGCAGAUAUUUGGAAGAACACCGGUGGCGAAGGCGGCCUUCUGGGCCACGACUGACGCUGAGGCGCGAAAGCUAGGGGAGCGAACAGG